RNAcentral lists this ribosomal RNA (292 nucleotides) under uncultured bacterium. RNAcentral's name for it is "partial 16S ribosomal RNA". The record is from RNAcentral.
GGACUACUGGGGUAUCUAAUCCUGUUCGCUCCCCACGCUUUCGCGCCUCAGCGUCAAUAUCAGCCCAGAAAGCUGCCUUCGCCAUCGAUGUUCUUUCCGAUCUCUACGCAUUUCACCGCUACACCGGAAAUUCCACUUCCCUCUGCCAUAUUCUAGCUUUACAGUUUGGAUCGCACAUCCCAGGUUAAGCCCGGAAAUUUCACCACCCACUUACAAAACCGCCUACGCGCCCUUUACGCCCAAUAAGUCCGAUUAACGCUCGCACCCUCUGUAUUACCGCGGCUGCUGGCAC